GAGAUGGUGUUUUGCCACGUUGCCCAGGUCUUGAACUCCUGGGCUCAAGCGAUCCACCUGUCUAGUCCUCCCAAAGCUCUAGAAUCACAGGUGUGAGCCACUGUGCUCAGCCCAUUUACAUUCUUGAUCAAAUAAUCUCCACUCUUCUCUUAAGAUCCUGGGAACACUACAUGGGUCCCAUGAUGAUGUUUGGGACUUGCAGACUAAAUGAGACCGCCAAUUUAAUGCAUCUAUUAAUAUUAGUCAAGUUAAACGUCUUAAUUUUUGAUAAAACUAAAUGUAAGUGGAAGUUUUAGCAUUUUCUCCAGCACUCCAAUGGAUCAGCGCUGGACAUUCUGUUUGGGAGACCACUGAUCUAGAUCAAGGGCUGUUGGAAGGGCUGUGAAAUUCUUUAAUACUUAAAAAAUUAUUUAAUUUAAAAAAUUGACAGAUAACAUGAUGUUUUCAAAUAUGUCUACCUUGUGGAAUGGGAAAGUCAAGCUAAUUAACAUAUGCAUUACUUCGCAUAAAUCCUUUGAUACUUUUUAUUAGAUUCUGCCAUAUUGCUUACUAUAGCUUUGGGAAACACAGGGGCGAUAUGGAUGGAUCACCAUUGUACAGUCAAAGAAACUCACAGGAAGGCACCCUGGUCACUUCCAAGAUUGUGGACUACUGGGGCCAUCUCUGUUUUAUUACCUCUAAUCACUAAGUGAGUCUUUGCCCCAUUUUCUUAAGGCUGUGUUGUUCUUUUAGACUGGCUACAGUGGGGCUUCCAAAGAUAAGACAGAAUAUCCCAUAGCAAACAAGCUGUCAAGUUGGCCAGGGUGAUUUGUUAGGAUUUCUUUUUUGGCCAAUUAAAAAAUAGCUGUCAAAAGCACUACUUUGUAGGACUCAUUAAGGUAAUGUUCAAAUUGUCUCUAAUGGUUCUUUGACCAUGAUUAAGCAAAACAAAUAACACAAAACAAAAAUCUUCCUAUUUCCCAGAGUCCUGGGUUUAUCACAAAUGCUAUUAAGGUUACGAGUUUUGUCCUUUGAUAAAAGAAGAACCACGUUUGGAAAUUGUCAUUACCCUUUAUUUUUCAACACACACACACACACACACACACACACACACACUCCUACAUUGGUUUGUUUCUGAGCGAUGUGUAAGGGAAUUAAAAAAAUCCUUUGGUAAAUACAUAUGCUAGUGUAAAUGGGUAGAAGUUAUUAGUUUUAAACACUUCAUAUAGUAUGGAGUGCAAGUAACAAGGCUCCCAGCUGAAAUGAUUAAAAAGUGAUAUUGUAGAAAAAGGUGUGGUCCCAGACUUCCUGUACCAGUGUUACUUGUUGAGAUUGUUCUGAAUCUGCCUAUUCUCAGGUUCCUCCUCCAGGAUACUGACAUAGCAACAACACGGAUUUUUCAGGCGAUUCUUAGGAACAAUGGAGUUUGAGCACCAUUUGGUCUAGGCUGUGUGUCAAUAAAGGUAUCAACUCAAGCGUGUACACACUGCAGUCUGCUGUACUGGAAAUGACUUAUUUAUUCUACGUUCAUUCACAGCUUCUGUUUAUGGCAUAAUACCUUCUGAGAGUAGGCCAUUAUGACAACAAUGCCUCUGUUUCCUCCAGAUUCUUGGCUGUCACUAUCCUGACCUACCACCUGUGUCACAUCCCAUUAGGUUCUGUGGAUGAGGCAUGGUGCUUGGCACAGACUGACACAAGUUUGGGCAAACUUGGCAGAGCAGCCUAACCCAAAGCGAAAAACAGAAAUGAACCAAGAUACAACCUCUGUGGAAAACCCUACUGAACAAAAGCAACUCUGUGGAGUGUCCUCUCAGCUGCAAAUUGAGACAGAAUUGUGGGGCAAGCUUGGCCACUGAUGCAGAUUCUGCAGCUUGCUACACAGAAAGCCAGAGACCGAGAGCCAAUGACUGAGACUAUGAGUAUUGCCAAGGAAGAAGGCUUUAAUCGGGUGCUGCAGCUGAAAAGAUGAGAGCUCAGCCUCAAAUCCAUCUCCCUGACCAACUAAAGCUAAGGAUUUAUAUAGCAGGGAAGAAGACAGGAACUAGGAAGGGGCAAGGAAGCGAUCCUGAUGAAUGAAGGGUCAGGCAUUUCAUUGUCUGGAUGUGGCGAUCUGCUCACACUGGUCACACCUGGGACUUCCAACAUGAAUGCUUUUGUCACGGAUGCUGCGCUGCUGCUGUUUCUGGUUCUUACUCUGCUUACACCAAGGAGACUGAUGUCCCUGCUAUAACCCCACUUCCGAUGCAGACAGCAAUUCCAAUGCAUUGCAGCUUUCAGGAUUUUCUCACUGUGUUUUUGCCUCUCCUUUUCUUUAAGACAUGAGCAUUUGUCUACGGGGAUGGCCUGAAGUGUAGUCUCCAUUACCCAGAGUCAUCUCACUCUCUGACCUUGACUCAUGAUCUGAGAACAAGUGCUCCCCUGCUUGUCUUCCUGAGGGGCAUCUGUCCCUCUUGCAAACAGAUUUCCUUUGGGCUCUGUCAUUUAGAAAUGCCCUUAUUUAUCUGAAUUAUAGUUCCAGUUCAGAACAUUUACAAAGGAACAGAUUGCUCCCAAUUUUAAAGCAGGUAAAUUCUAAAAGUUGGCAAGCCAGUCAUUUAGAAUUUGAGCCUCAUAUUCCAUAGGUAUGAAAUUAUACAUAAUGAAAAAGUUCCCAGGGCAGCCCACAAAAAGCCUACUUAUCCAAAAUAAAGCUAACCUGAGUUAAUUCAGCUCUAUGGCCUAGCCACAUUCA
This 2710-nucleotide long non-coding RNA is filed under the name Homo sapiens (human). RNAcentral's name for it is "HSALNT0345107". The record is from RNAcentral. Lineage: Eukaryota; Metazoa; Chordata; Mammalia; Primates; Hominidae.